Molecule: ribosomal RNA, 574 nt
Filed under: uncultured bacterium
Lineage: Bacteria
Description: partial 16S ribosomal RNA
Rfam family: Bacterial small subunit ribosomal RNA
Source: RNAcentral
UGGGGAAUUUUGGACAAUGGGCGCAAGCCUGAUCCAGCCAUGCCGCGUGCGGGAAGAAGGCCUUCGGGUUGUAAACCGCUUUUGUCAGGGAAGAAAUCUUCUGAGUUAAUACCUCGGGAGGAUGACGGUACCUGAAGAAUAAGCACCGGCUAACUACGUGCCAGCAGCCGCGGUAAUACGUAGGGUGCAAGCGUUAAUCGGAAUUACUGGGCGUAAAGCGUGCGCAGGCGGUUUUGUAAGACAGAGGUGAAAUCCCCGGGCUCAACCUGGGAACUGCCUUUGUGACUGCAAGGCUUGAGUGCGGCAGAGGGGGAUGGAAUUCCGCGUGUAGCAGUGAAAUGCGUAGAUAUGCGGAGGAACACCGAUGGCGAAGGCAAUCCCCUGGGCCUGCACUGACGCUCACGCACGAAAGCGUGGGGAGCAAACAGGAUUAGAUACCCCUGGUAGUCCACGCCCUAAACGAUGUCAACUGGUUGUUGGGAAGGUUCCUUCUCAGUAACGUAGCUAACGCGUGAAGUUGACCGCCUGGGGAGUACGGCCGCAAGGUUGAAACUUAAAGGAAUUGACGGGGUCA